CUUGGCGCUCCAUCUGGCAGCCGCUAUGGUGCUCCGGCUGUGCAGAUCGGGUGCCGAUCUGUGAAGCCGUGAGGAACCAUAGUGUUGUUUGGUCGUUGACCUCGUCGACUGCUCUGGUGCUCCGGUCUUGCUGCAGACCGUCGAGGGAUCAGAGCAGCGCCGAUGGCCGACGAUGAGGGCACUCCAUCAACGAUUCAUAUUCUUUCUAAGUUUUAAGAUUGUUUGAUAUGUGAAACUGUGUAAAUGUGAUUCAUAUUUUAAAUUUUAAGAUCAUCUCAUUAUGAGUUGAA
This is a long non-coding RNA of Panicum virgatum (switchgrass), 290 nucleotides long. RefSeq lists it as uncharacterized. The record is from RefSeq and is a predicted model, not a curated record. Lineage: Eukaryota; Viridiplantae; Streptophyta; Magnoliopsida; Poales; Poaceae. The transcript has 2 exons.